RNAcentral lists this ribosomal RNA (446 nucleotides) under uncultured bacterium. Its description in RNAcentral is "partial 16S ribosomal RNA". It matches the Rfam family "Bacterial small subunit ribosomal RNA", at positions 338 to 795 of the family's 1533-position model. The record is from RNAcentral.
CCUACGGGGCGCAGCAGUCGAGAAUCAUUCACAAUGGGGGAAACCCUGAUGGUGCGACGCCGCGUGGGGGAAUGAAGGUCUUCGGAUUGUAAACCCCUGUCAUGUGGGAGCAAAUUAAAAAGAUAGUACCACACGAGGAAGAGACGGCUAACUCUGUGCCAGCAGCCGCGGUAAUACAGAGGUCUCAAGCGUUGUUCGGAAUCACUGGGCGUAAAGCGUGCGUAGGCUGUUUCGUAAGUCGUGUGUGAAAGGCGCGGGCUCAACCCGCGGACGGCACAUGAUACUGCGAGACUAGAGUAAUGGAGGGGGAACCGGAAUUCUCGGUGUAGCAGUGAAAUGCGUAGAUAUCGAGAGGAACACUCGUGGCGAAGGCGGGUUCCUGGACAUUAACUGACGCUGAGGCACGAAGGCCAGGGGAGCGAAAGGGAUUAGAUACCCCGGUAGUC